Long non-coding RNA from Polypterus senegalus (gray bichir), 255 nucleotides. RefSeq lists it as uncharacterized. The record is from RefSeq and is a predicted model, not a curated record. The transcript is spliced from 3 exons. Lineage: Eukaryota; Metazoa; Chordata; Cladistia; Polypteriformes; Polypteridae.
CUGAUCCCAAGAUGCCAAUUACAAAGAAACCAAAUAGAAACCGAGCCUCGCCGCUCUGACACGCGCACGGCGGCAAGUGGCAUGUUAAAUGCACCUCACGAGGGAAGGCUUUCGCUGAUAAACACAGAUGGAAAACACGCACACACUGAGUGAAAAGGGAAGACUGAACCUCCAUUCUGGUGUAUUGCUGUCCAGAGCCUUGGUCGCUCUUUCCAUAUACUCACAUGUGGCACUUGCUGCCACGGCCCACCUGCC